CCUAGCGGUACUCCGAAUGCAUCCAGAUUAUUUGANUGAUCAUGGCUCAGAGUGAACGCUGGCGGUAGGCCUAACACAUGCAAGUCGAACGGCAGCACAGGAGAGCUUGCUCUCUGGGUGGCGAGUGGCGGACGGGUGAGGAAUACAUCGGAAUCUACUCUGUCGUGGGGGAUAACGUAGGGAAACUUACGCUAAUACCGCAUACGACCUACGGGUGAAAGCAGGGGAUCUUCGGACCUUGCGCGAUUGAAUGAGCCGAUGUCGGAUUAGCUAGUUGGCGGGGUAAAGGCCCACCAAGGCGACGAUCCGUAGCUAGGUCUGAAGAGGGAUUGAUUC
RNAcentral lists this ribosomal RNA (336 nucleotides) under uncultured bacterium. RNAcentral describes it as "bacterial SSU rRNA". It matches the Rfam family "Bacterial small subunit ribosomal RNA", at positions 1 to 306 of the family's 1533-position model. The record is from RNAcentral.